Molecule: ribosomal RNA, 460 nt
Filed under: uncultured bacterium
Lineage: Bacteria
Description: partial 16S ribosomal RNA
Rfam family: Bacterial small subunit ribosomal RNA
Source: RNAcentral
CCUACGGGAGGCAGCAGUGAGGAAUAUUGGUCAAUGGGCGUAAGCCUGAACCAGCCAAGUCGCGUGAGGGAUGAAUGUUCUAUGGAUUGUAAACCUCUUUUAUAAGGGAAUAAAGUGUGGGACGUGUCCUCUUUUGUAUGUACCUUAUGAAUAAGGAUCGGCUAACUCCGUGCCAGCAGCCGCGGUAAUACGGAGGAUCCGAGCGUUAUCCGGAUUUAUUGGGUUUAAAGGGUGCGUAGGCGGGUUUUUAAGUCAGCGGUGAAAGUCUGUGGCUCAACCAUAGAAUUGCAGUUGAAACUGGGAGGCUGGAGUAUAGUUGAGGCAGGCGGAAUGCGUGGUGUAGCGGUGAAAUGCUUAGAUAUCACGCAGAACCCCGAUUGCGAAGGCAGCCUGCUAAGCCGUGACUGACGCUGAUGCACGAAAGCGUGGGGAUCAAACAGGAUUAGAUACCCGAGUAGUC